AGAAUCAACGCUGGCGGCGUGCCUAACACAUGCAAGUCGAACAAGAAAGUGGAGCAAUCCAUGAGUAAAGUGGCGCACGGGUGAGUAACACGUGACUAACCUACCCUUGAGUGGGGGAUAACCUAGAGAAAUCUGGGCUAAUACCGCAUAAUACCUUCGGGUCAAAGGAGCAAUUCGCUUAAGGAGGGGGUCGCGGCCGAUUAGUUAGUUGGCGGGGUAAUGGCCCACCAAGACUAUGAUCGGUA
RNAcentral lists this ribosomal RNA (245 nucleotides) under uncultured bacterium. Its description in RNAcentral is "partial small subunit ribosomal RNA". It matches the Rfam family "Bacterial small subunit ribosomal RNA", at positions 26 to 285 of the family's 1533-position model. The record is from RNAcentral.